GACGAACGCUGGCGGCGUGCUUAACACAUGCAAGUCGAACGGACCCAAGCUUUAAGUUUACUUAGAGCUGACGGUUAGUGGCGGACGGGUGAGUAACACGUGGAUAAUCUGCCUAUGACACAGGAAUAACACUGUGAAAACGGUGCUAAUACCAGAUACACUUAUCGGGUCGCAUGUCCUGAUAAGGAAAGGAGCAAUCCGGUCAUAGAUGAGUCCGCGGCUGAUUAGCUAGUUGGUAGGGUAAAGGCCUACCAAGGCGAUGAUCAGUAGCCGGCCUGAGAGGGUGAUCGGCCACAUUGGGACUGAGACACGGCCCAAACUCCUACGGGAGGCAGCAGUGGGGAAUUUUGGACAAUGGGGGCAACCCUGAUCCAGCCAUGCCGCGUGAGUGAAGAAGGCCUUCGGUUGUAAGUACUCUUUCGGCCGGGAGAAAUACGCAUGGGCUAAUAACCCUGUGCGGAUGACGGUACCGGCGAUAAGAAGACACCGGCUAACUACGUGCC
This 503-nucleotide ribosomal RNA is filed under the name uncultured bacterium. RNAcentral describes it as "bacterial SSU rRNA". It matches the Rfam family "Bacterial small subunit ribosomal RNA", at positions 28 to 509 of the family's 1533-position model. The record is from RNAcentral.